RNAcentral lists this long non-coding RNA (251 nucleotides) under Gallus gallus (chicken). Lineage: Eukaryota; Metazoa; Chordata; Aves; Galliformes; Phasianidae. The record is from RNAcentral.
CUGUCCCACCCAGAAGGCUACCCUGCCCCACCCAUUGUGAGCAAGAAGGGGGGAAGAAAUGGACAAAUGUAUCCAAAAGCAGCAGGAAGCAGGCUGUACUGAGAGAAGACUGGCACCCCUGAAGCAUGACAUUAUUGAUCUGACAACUCUGCAAGACCUUUCCAUCCUUGGAACUUAUCAUACUGGAAUUUCUACUCAUUCUCAUCAUAGUGAGCCAUCAAGUGCAUCACUGGGCAGCACACGGAGGUGCA